Long non-coding RNA from Cynoglossus semilaevis (tongue sole), 368 nucleotides. RefSeq lists it as uncharacterized. NCBI's taxonomy places the organism in Eukaryota, Metazoa, Chordata, Actinopteri, Pleuronectiformes, Cynoglossidae. The record is from RefSeq and is a predicted model, not a curated record. The transcript has 3 exons.
UUUGACUUUAGCAUCCUCCUUGAUCCUCCACAUCAUCAGCUCCAUACAGGCAGUGGCGUCUUCACUGGAGUCGUGUCCGUCCACUGGGAUCAGAGAAGAACAGGACAUUAGUAUAGAAUGGAACACAAGAGAACCAGGAUAGAAGACAUUUAACGUCAUACACGUGAGAAUGAAACCAGCUUUGAAAACACUGCAGAUGACUGACAUCUACUGGAGACAUGACCACAGUGCAGUUGUCUCGAUGCCAGGUGGACGAAGAAUGGCUCACCGCGUGUUGUAGUCAACGACCUUCUUCUCAGGUUUGACAAAAGUGUCGUAGAUGACUUUCAUCCUUGAGUCGAUGACCGUCACUCUGGUCAGCUCUAGGC